UAGGGAAUCUUCGGCAAUGGACGAAAGUCUGACCGAGCAACGCCGCGUGAGUGAAGAAGGUUUUCGGAUCGUAAAACUCUGUUGUUAGAGAAGAACAAGGACGUUAGUAACUGAACGUCCCCUGACGGUAUCUAACCAGAAAGCCACGGCUAACUACGUGCCAGCAGCCGCGGUAAUACGUAGGUGGCAAGCGUUGUCCGGAUUUAUUGGGCGUAAAGCGAGCGCAGGCGGUUUCUUAAGUCUGAUGUGAAAGCCCCCGGCUCAACCGGGGAGGGACGUUGGAAACUGGGAGACUUGAGUGCAGAAGAGGAGGGUGGAAUUCCAUGUGUAGCGGUGAAAUGCGUAGAUAUAUGGAGGAACACCAGUGGCGAAGGCGGCUCUCUGGUCUGUAACUGACGCUGAGGCUCGAAAGCGUGGGGAGCAAACAGG
RNAcentral lists this ribosomal RNA (429 nucleotides) under Gemmatimonadota bacterium. RNAcentral describes it as "Gemmatimonadetes bacterium partial 16S ribosomal RNA". It matches the Rfam family "Bacterial small subunit ribosomal RNA", at positions 355 to 776 of the family's 1533-position model. Lineage: Bacteria; Pseudomonadati; Gemmatimonadota. The record is from RNAcentral.